UGUGUUUGCGGUGAUGAUUAGAUGUUAAUCCCAGCUCAUUAUGAGACCUUCUUUGUGUAAGGUCAGGGAUAAUUAAUAUUUCUCUCAUCUGUCUGAGCAUUUUCA
This 105-nucleotide small nucleolar RNA is filed under the name Erythranthe guttata (spotted monkey flower). Lineage: Eukaryota; Viridiplantae; Streptophyta; Magnoliopsida; Lamiales; Phrymaceae. The record is from RNAcentral.